UACAGAGGGCUCAAGCGUUGUUCGGAUUCAUUGGGCGUAAAGGGUGCGUAGGCGGGCCUUUAAGUCAGGGGUGAAAUCCUGGAGCUCAACUCCAGAACUGCCUUUGAUACUGAGGAUCUUGAGUUCGGGAGAGGUGAGUGGAACUGCGAGUGUAGAGGUGAAAUUCGUAGAUAUUCGCAAGAACACCAGUGGCGAAGGCGGCUCACUGGCCCGAUACUGACGCUGAGGCACGAAAGCGUGGGGAGCAAACAGG
Molecule: ribosomal RNA, 253 nt
Filed under: uncultured bacterium
Lineage: Bacteria
Description: partial 16S ribosomal RNA
Rfam family: Bacterial small subunit ribosomal RNA
Source: RNAcentral